Molecule: ribosomal RNA, 208 nt
Filed under: uncultured bacterium
Lineage: Bacteria
Description: partial 16S ribosomal RNA
Rfam family: Bacterial small subunit ribosomal RNA
Source: RNAcentral
UACGGGGGGGGGUAAGCGUUGUUCGGAAUUACUGGGCGUAAAGGGCUCGUAGGCGGCCAACUAAGUCAUACGUGAAAUCCCUCAGCUUAACUGGGGAACUGCGUGUGAUACUGGAUGGCUUGGAUUUGGGAGAGGGAAUGCGGAAUUCCAGGUGUAGCGGUGAAAUGCGUAGAAUAUCUGGAGGAACACCGGUGGCGAAAGGCGGCCA